This 392-nucleotide ribosomal RNA is filed under the name uncultured bacterium. RNAcentral describes it as "partial 16S ribosomal RNA". It matches the Rfam family "Bacterial small subunit ribosomal RNA", at positions 523 to 918 of the family's 1533-position model. The record is from RNAcentral.
AUACGGAGGAUCCGAGCGUUAUCCGGAUUUAUUGGGUUUAAAGGGUGCGCAGGCGGCCAUUUAAGUCAGCGGUUAAAUCGUGGGGCUCAACCCCAUUCUGCCGUUGAUACUGGGUGGCUUGAUUGCGGUCGAGGUUGGCGGAAUUCGUUGUGUAGCGGUGAAAUGCAUAGAUAUGACGAAGAACACCGAUUGCGUAGGCAGCUGACCAGACCGCAAAUGACGCUCAUGCACGAAAGUGCGGGGAUCGAAGAGGAUUAGAUACCCUGGUAGUCCGCACGGUAAACGAUGAAUACUUGUUUUCGGCGAUAUAAUGUCGGAGGCAAAGCGAAAGCGAUAAGUAUUCCACCUGGGGAGUACGCCGGCAACGGUGAAACUCAAAUGAAUUGGCGGGG